Molecule: ribosomal RNA, 236 nt
Filed under: uncultured bacterium
Lineage: Bacteria
Description: partial 16S ribosomal RNA
Rfam family: Bacterial small subunit ribosomal RNA
Source: RNAcentral
UUGUCCGGAUUUAUUGGGCGUAAAGAGCGUGUAGGCGGCUUGGCAAGUCCGCUGUGAAAACUCGAGGCUUAACCUCGAGACGUCGGUGGAAACUGCCUGGCUAGAGUCCGGAAGAGGAGUGUGGAAUUCCUGGUGUAGCGGUGAAAUGCGCAGAUAUCAGGAAGAACACCUAUGGCGAAGGCAGCACUCUGGGACGGUACUGACGCUGAGACGCGAAAGCGUGGGGAGCGAACAGG